UACAGAGGGUGCAAGCGUUAAUCGGAAUCACUGGGCGUAAAGGGUGCGUAGGUGGUUAUAUAAGUUUCAUGUGAAAUCCCUGGGCUUAACCUGGGAACUGCAUGGGAGACUGUAAGACUAGAGUAGAGUAGAGGUGAGUGGAAUUUCCGGUGUAGCGGUGAAAUGCGUAGAGAUCGGAAGGAACACCAGUGGCGAAGGCGGCUCACUGGACUCAUACUGACACUGAGGCACGAAAGCGUGGGGAGCAAACAGG
Molecule: ribosomal RNA, 253 nt
Filed under: uncultured bacterium
Lineage: Bacteria
Description: partial 16S ribosomal RNA
Rfam family: Bacterial small subunit ribosomal RNA
Source: RNAcentral